ACCUGCUACAGCUGCCUCAAAGAAUAUUGGAACAAAUUGUUUUUAUAUGUCUGUUCUACCAGGGGAAGUCUUCACAUGUUUUCAAUAGGAAUCUCCCCUAAUUCACCUAUGAGUUUGAGGCUUGCCAAGAUGGUUUUCCUGAGUAUGGCUGCUGAGUAUACCUUGGAGUCACAGAGAGGUGGCUCUGGUGGUAGUGUGCUGAGCAUCUUGGCAUCUUGGCUUGGCAGAAGCUAUUGUCCGGGUUUGGCGGUUGACACUGUGAUGUGGCUGAGUCAAAUCAGGGGCUAGCAAUCAGGAGAAGAUGA
This 305-nucleotide long non-coding RNA is filed under the name Monodelphis domestica (gray short-tailed opossum). RNAcentral's name for it is "lncRNA (ENSMODG00000047041.1)". Lineage: Eukaryota; Metazoa; Chordata; Mammalia; Didelphimorphia; Didelphidae. The record is from RNAcentral.